UAGUAUCAGAAGAGGAAGAGACGGCUAACUCUGUGCCAGCAGCCGCGGUAAUACAGAGGUCUCAAGCGUUGUUCGGAUUCAUUGGGCGUAAAGGGUGCGUAGGUGGCGGGGUAAGUCAGGUGUGAAAUUUCGGAGCUUAACUCCGAAACUGCAUUUGAUACUGCCUUGCUUGAGGACUGGAGAGGAGACUGGAAUUCACGGUGUAGCAGUGAAAUGCGUAGAGAUCGUGAGGAAGACCAGUGGCGAAGGCGGGUCUCUGGACAGUUCCUGACACUGAGGCACGAAGGCCAGGGGAGCAAACGGGAUUAGAUACCCCGGUAGUCCUGGCAGUAAACGGUGCACGUUUGGUGUGGGGGGAUUCGACCCCUUCCGCGCCGGAGCUAACGCGUUAAACGUGCCGCCUGGGGAGUACGGUCGCAAGAUUAAAACUCAAAGAAAUUGACGGGGGCCCGCACAAGCGGUGGAGUAUGUGGCUUAAUUCGAUGCAACGCGAAGAACCUUACCAGGCCUUGACAUGCAUUUCUAAGUUGGUGAAAGCCAGCGAAUGUCGAAAGACAUAACUUGCACAGGUGCUGCAUGGCUGUCGUCAGCUCGUG
RNAcentral lists this ribosomal RNA (596 nucleotides) under uncultured bacterium. RNAcentral describes it as "bacterial SSU rRNA". It matches the Rfam family "Bacterial small subunit ribosomal RNA", at positions 473 to 1064 of the family's 1533-position model. The record is from RNAcentral.